This 7712-nucleotide long non-coding RNA is filed under the name Sus scrofa (pig). Its description in RNAcentral is "lncRNA (ENSSSCG00000060836.1)". Lineage: Eukaryota; Metazoa; Chordata; Mammalia; Artiodactyla; Suidae. The record is from RNAcentral.
CUCUGGAUUGGUUGGUUUUUGAGGAAAGGCAUGUCUUCAGGCAAGUCAUUUGCUAUCCCAGGAAAUGGCUAGUGAUGGGAGGGGCAGUCCUUUCAGAGUCAGCAAGGUACCAGGUGUCGACACAUCAGAAACAUAGUUAAUACAGAAACAGAAUAGAAAGUCUACAAGCAGACCCUGAAUACCUGUGUAUUUACCAUAGGAUUAAGAUAACAUUUAAAGUUGGCAUAAACAGGACUUUGAAAAACAUGGGAUUUACAUUUUCUGUAUUUCUCUUUACUUGUAGUAGUCUGGCUACCAACAGGAAAACAAAACAAAACAAAACAAACACAACACUCAGAUCCUUAUAUUAUACCUUACACACAAAUAAAUUAUAGUUUUUUUCUAAUAAAUCUUAAAAUAUAUUAAAAAUACAAUAGAAUGAUUUUAAAAUAUUGAGUUGAGGAAUAAGUACACAUGUUUUAUUUUGAACAUAUAUUGCCUUUAAGUGUCAUGUAUUCAGGUCUAUUUACUUUUUCAUUAUAAUUUCUGCCUUUUAUGUCAUUGUUCAAGAAUUCAGUGCUUUCACCAACUUACUCAAUUUGGAUAAAAAGAAAGAAGUAAAAUAUUUAUUUUGGGGGGUAAUAAACAUAGCAGGUUUCUCUUCAGAAUAUUAUUUUUUUAAAUUAGGGUGAUAAAUUUCCAUAGUCUACUUUGUAAUUGAAAGUAUUUUAGGGUGUUCCUGUCAUGUCUCAGUGGUUAACAAACCUGACUAGUAUCCAUGGGGACAGGGGUUCAAUCCCUGGCCUUGCUCAGUGAGUUAAGGAUCCAGCGUUGCUGUGAGCUGUGGUGUAGGUUGCAGAUGUGGCUCAGAUCCAGCAUUGCUAUGGCUGUGGCGUAGGUCGGCAGCUACUGCUGAGAUUAAAUCCCUAGCCUGGGAGCUUCCAUAUGCCACAGAUGCAACACUAAAAAGACCAAAAAAAAAAAAAAAAAAUUAGAAAGAAAGUAUAUUCAGAGGAUUUCACGUUAGAAACUUUGGGAAAAUGCUGUAACACCAUUAAUUAAGAAAUAAGCUUUCAAAAUCAGCUGUUUUUGAAUUGUUUAAUGCCUUUUCUAUUCCACAUGAUGAUAUUCAUUAAUUCACAAAUGGUAUUAAACAGCUGUUUUCUAAAAUUCAAUAUCUUAAUAACAACUAAAGCAGAUUAUACCCUAAAUAGAAUCAGUUCAAGAUAUUAUAUUAGGGGCAACCCCCUUGCAUCAGAAUGAAGUAGAUGAGAAAGUUCUUGGCCACUUGACAAGACUCCAUAUGCUACUAAAUAUGCAAAGCUAGAUUGGUAGAUUUUGUGUCUUGCAUCUGUAAGCACUGGCAAUUCAGGAAUAUUUACCACUAAUGAAGAAUAUCAGAUCAGUUCAAGUUAAUUAGCAUUUAUCCUUCUUCCUUCACAGAAUCCUUCCAUCAUGCUUCAUUCAGCAUCAAAUAUAAGCAUAUACUAUUAGGAAUAAAAGUGGGGCUUGAAUUUCCUAUCCUUGAGAAAAAUUGGCAGCUAAACACCAGCUUUCCACAUUCGUCAAUAUUGUCAGUAUGUUUAGUUGACAGUGGUACCAACUUUUCCUGUUUAAAAAGCUAUUUCCUUAUUCUAAACAUGAUAAUUGUGUGUGAUAAUAUUUAAUUUAUAAGGAGAAAUAUCUCAAAGUACCAACCAAUGAAAUAAAAACAUGGUCUUUUAAUUUUCUACUCUUUUUCCUCAAUGAACAUUCUAAAAUAUCUGAGGGUAAAACAGUAUUUUUAAGAUGACAGUCUAUAAUUAUUUGAGUUGUUAUAUUGAUGUCUUCUUUUAUGGAUUUAAAGUAUUCUUUAUGGUAAAAUGUAUAUUUAGUAUUUUCUAAAGGAAGAAAAUCUUUUCCAUUUUAGUAGUAAGAGUCAAAACCAAAAACAUCUGUAUACUUAAUCUUUUUAAUUUCAAAAUUCCCUUUUUUGUGUUUUUUGACUAAAUAAUUCAAUAUUUUUAUGAAGAUAUUUUGUUCUUCAGAGUCUCUGGAAUGUUCUUUUCUCCAGAUCUCCCUGUAGUUUUAUGGGAAAAAGAAACUCAAGUCCCUAGAUACUCGUCAAAGGUAGAGCUGCAAUAAGUGAGUGAUUUGAUUCAUUAUUUACUUAUUCAUUCUUUAAAUAUUGCUGAGUACCUACUAUUUACUAUACAAUGUAAGAAAAGCACCUUUGCAUUGUACGAGUCAAACCAAAGUGUUAGCUUUUCAGGACAUUUUAGAAAAUAUUUGCAGUUGUAUUCUUUGUGGGGCAAAUCCUUCCCCAACUUCUUUGCUUAUUAGAUAUGUGACUUUGGAUGUGUAGAUUAACUUACUGAGCCUCAGUUUUCUUAGAGAAUUGUUUGAGGAUUUGUAGGAUGACACAUAUGAAGGUGUUAUUCGAUUUUAAAACUAAACAUUGAAACAAUAGUAUUAUUGGUGUUAUUACUAUUAUUAGAUUGUAAUAGCAACAGAUCAAAAGAAUCCAAAUUACUAUUAUUAUCAUCACUAUUAAUGUUACCAUGAUAUGCCCAGUGAUAGGUUCUGCGUAUUUAAAAAAAAAAAAAAAUGCCUGGGAAGUGUUAGAAGAGAGAAUGAUGAUGGAAAAGUACACAAAAUUUACUGUGAUAGUGAUGUGUUUCUCCAAGAGAUGGGACUAAUAGUUUGUUCUUUACUGUUAAUUUCUACAAUAAAAGCAUUACUGGAGUGACAUGUGCGUUAUUUUAAAGCAAAGAGAAGUAUAAUCACCUUUUACAAUUUAGGUAGCUUAUUUUAUAUUCUUCAUGUUUCAUGUUCAAUAGCCUUUUUGACAAUGACAGUAUAGUUUUCCUCUGGGAAUUAUAUUACAUUAGAACAUUAUGUAAUACUGUGGACAAUACUGUACAUAACUGGAAGGAGUUGGAAUACUAGUAUUGAAUUCAGACCUAUUCAUCUCAACUGUUAAGAAGAGCAAAGUGAUACCCUGGAAGCAUAGAAGACAGCAGUGUUUGUGGGUAUAAGGAAAAGCUUCAAUUUUUUUUUUAAUAUAUCUUUUAAUAUACUUCAGUACUUCAUCCUUUUUAUCUAAAAACAGUCUACUUUUUCUCAACCAGAAGAUGUCCUUCAAACCCCUUUUAUCAUUGAAUUGGGUAGGUUGAAAUGAUCUGUUCUAACCCACUUUUAAAUAUGUGUUAUUGUCUAGGCCAGAGAAUUUUCCCCUCAUUAUCACCUCAUAAAACAACUAUGAGAGGAGACUAGACUUCUUACCCUAAUGCAGUUGUAAUGAAGUGAAAGUUUUCUGGUUUGCUUUGGAUUUUUCCUCAUAGAAUUUUGCAACCUAAGCCAGAACAUACCUUGGCUCAUGUAUUACUGCCUUUUUUUUCCUUCCCCUGAAAUUAAAGGUUAAAACCUAGAGAGCUUAAAUGAAAGCAAGGAAUCCUUAAACAAUUUGUGGUUAGUCACUUACUGUGAAAAUUAAUGAAAAUCACAAAAAGAAAAAUCACCAUUAAAUUUCAAGAAAUCAUCCUAGUACUGAGAGCUUUUAGCAGGUUUAACAUAAACAUUUCAGAAGGCAGUAAUGGAAGCAUCAGUGAGAGGUAGAUUCUCAAAAUCAGAGAAACUGUGUCCUCAAAUAUGUGUGUAAGUUGGUGACAUUUUAGGGAACUAGAAACUAUUGAAAAGAGACAUUGAAUAUUUGUGUUGUAAAAUAUACAUCUAUCUUAUUCUAAACUACACUAAUUGAAUAUCAUUACCGGUUUAAACCCCACUAGAGAAAUUCCAGUUGCUAAUGAUGGAAUUUUCAUUGGUCUUUAUCCUGGAAUCUUAUAUCAACACCCAAGUCUCAAAAGUCUUAUGAGUUAAUCAUAAUCUCUACUGGAUGGUAAGAAAGAGAAGAAAGUCCUAAAAAGAGUCAUGCUCCUCUGCUCCAUGCACCAGGCAAUUUCUGUACCACGGAUUUUAUAAACACGCCCCUUCACUAUUCAUGGAAAAAAUUCUGCUUCCUUAAUAACUACCACAUUAUGAGCUGCUGAAGUCUUUCUUUAAAAACCACACAACCGCACACUAAUGUAGCAUAUAAACUAUGAUUUUUAGAGUUAUUUCACAGAACAACUUGUACAAGAGUGAAUACACAUACUCUUUUAAUUUGUGAAAUUUAAAAAAAGUUUGGCUGUACAAAAUUAGGAAACAGUUUAUUCUUUAUCAUUUCCAUAUCAAUAUUUGGGAAAUAAAUGGAAAAAGCAAAAUAGAACAGUAGCCAAGAAAGGGGGAUACUUUAACAUUGCAUUUUCUUACUUUCUUUGGAGAAAAUGCCAUCAGUAAAUUUUCUUUUUGGCUUCUUGAGUAAAUGCUACUUUAUCUUGGAAGACUUUUAGAAGCUCUUAAAAAAACCUAUAUUACCUAUUUUCCUAAGUUAAAUUAAAAAUGCAUUAAAUAUCUAUUGUUUCAUUGUUGAAUGUAGUGUUUAUUGAAUUAAGGCGAUUUUAAACUUUUGUGAGGACUUUGAAAGACUCUAUAUUUGAAUAUUGUCCUCAAAGGGAAAAAAAUAUGUGUCAAAUUCAGUAUAAUUUCUAAAUACACGGGAGGCUUAAUAUUGGGUCAGAAUAUUCUGUGUAAUUUGGAAGAGAAAAAAGUGAACAUAAAGAAAUUUUUCUUGCCUCAUCAUUAUAAAGCUUUAAAAAGGGAAAGCACGCUCUAGUUAAUAAAAUUGUAGAUCCAACCAGAAAGUAUCUGUAACAUAAUAUUUGUAUGUACUUGAUAAUUUGUGUAAAUGCUUGGGAAAAUAAAGCUGUAGGAACCUGAGGAUCCUGGCCAUGCAUUCACAUAGAUUCAAUUGUAUUUGAAGGGCUAGCAGCAGCAACCUACUAGAGUUAAAACAUAUAAAAUAUAUAAUUAAGUAUAUAAUAUAGUUAUUUUUAACCAAUAUGGUUGAAUAUCAGUAAUUUCUUUCUGAUCAAACUUACGUCUACACUUAAGACUAAAAUUCGUAUAGUAGAUCACCUCAUUGGGUAAAAGAAAAAACGAAGAGAAGACAGUUUUGAAUACAUUACAGUUAAGGAUGAGCAGUCUGAGGGAAAAAAGAGAGCUCUAUCAUGACAGUGUUUUUAAGAAAGAGAAAGGUAUAGAGGAGCACUGAUUUAUGAACCAUAUUUUUAUGUAGGAUAUUCAUCCACUUAAGUUUGGCAAUGGGAGCAAAUCAUUACAAAAAUAAGCAUGAGCUAAUUCCUCUAAUUCUUUUUAUAUUUUUAUGGGAUGAUUAAUUGAUUUCAUGGUUAGUCACUGACCCAAUCAUUUAUUCUUUCAUUCACUCAACAAAAAUUUACUGAGGUUCCAAUGUAUAUCAGGAAUAAUGGAAGGUGCUGGAGAUAUACUGGGAGACAAGACAAUUAAUGUUUGUCAGGGUGGUAACUCAAAUAAGGAAACAAAAAUUAUAGCAUAGUGUGAAAAUGCUAUAAGGCAAAUAUUAAACUCUCUCUCUCCUUCCCUCCCUUGAUUGCUCUUAAUCUCAGAACCCUCCCAUGGCAGUAUGAAGGAACUGAUGAACUUUAUUCAUGAUUUAGAUUAAAUGUUAUACCUUAAUUCUUUCUCCCUGCCCAAGUUUGCAUACCUAUUUGUUUUCACUGGUCUAUCUUUUGGGAACAAGGGAGUAAAUAAAUAGAUAGGAAACAGCCUUGCUAAUUAAUAGUAUCAUUAUGCUCUAAGAAUAAGUUUUCUACUAACCACCCCCACACACACAAAAACUGUUAUCUUGAAUGAUAGCCAUAUAUAGUUUAAAAAAUACAGAGCUGGGAGUCAUAGCCCUGAAUCACAAUCGUGAGGUGUUACAUAUCAUUUAUCCUUUGUGGGAUAGAAGCAGUAUUUGUUAGGAGGAUGAGAUGAGGUGGUACCUUGCACUGUGGCUGACAGAUGGCAGGCCUUCAGGAAAUGCUUGAAUCGGAUUCUAGGAUGCCUAGACUAAGAUAAUCAUGGGAGGCCUUGGAGACUUUCUGCUGUUAGAGUCACUAUCUGGUAGCCUUAUCCACUUAUGAAGAUUGUGAUCUACAUCUCUGUUUCACUCACAAAACUGGUUUUCAGCCAUCAGAAGAAUUGACAGUGAUCCUAGAUCUCCAAUAAAGUGACUCAUUUCAUCUCACCUUUAGGACAAGCACUCAAGAUCUCUGGGAAAUGUGCAUUCCACAACCUACAACUGUUUUAGACAUGACCAGGCACAGUCUACCCAUGGCGUCAACUUUCCCUCACUGGGAGACCAGCCCAGACUGAGUUCCUAUCCCCUUAGUCUCACUCAUCAUUCCAAAUUUCCCGGUUGAAGAACCCAAUUACCUUAGUUUACCCUUGUAAGAAGACCAAUUAUCUGAUUAAUGAAGGAACAAUGUCUACCCCAAAACAAUCUCUAGUAAAUGUAUAUUCCAGCAUGCAAUAGAGGAGUCACUGUUCAAUUAUUCUUAUGCUUAUAUGUAUCAUAAUUAUUUUAUUAUUGCCUGAAUCUAGGACUAAGUAUCCUGUGAAGUCUCGCGUCUUUUACCAAUAAAAUCUCAGAUGGAACACUUGUGGUCAAAGAAAGGAGUACGACUUCAUCAAUGUAUUAAAAAAAAGUAAGCACCCAAUCCCAUGAAAGCUGAAGAGUAACUAACUCUCCAGUGUCGAUAAAGGAGAGGAAAUUUAGAUCCCAGGUGCCUUUUGGAGGCAUCUCGAGAAAUGGUGCUCAGAGUGGUUUGGGGAGCCACUGCCUUAUAAACUGCUAAAGCACAGAGGGAAUUAUUUUGGACUCUUGCAUUAGAAGCAAUCACUCACCUUUCCGUCAGAAACUACUGGGAUCUCCUACCACACCUCCCAUCCCAGUUUGAUAUGAUCAUUGCUGGAGAAGCAAGCCUUCCUUUUCAGUUUUCUCUUGAAAUCUAGUCUGAACAUCAGUCUCCUUGGCUUCCUAAAAACGUCUUUUGUUCAAUUAAUUUUUCCACAUUUUCAACUUCUUCUUUGCCACCUCCAUUAUUUAACUGAAAUUGCUUAAGGUCGCUGCUUCCCUGACACCCUUUCUAAUGGGAGCAUCUUGUUCUGCUACAAUCCGGAUCCUUCUUUGCCAGAAGAAGGAGUAGGUGUCUGUACUGCUCCCUAGAACUCCUUUAAGGCUCAAGAUUUUUCCUGCAAAACCUCCUUUGAGUCUAAUACCCUCAGAUGGAGCAUCCUCUCUCCCUCACUGCUGGAAACUGUUCACUCAUUGAAAAUCUUAGUUUUGGCUCCAAAUCUUCUUUUUGGAGUCCUGAAUUUUGCAACUUAACCUCCUCAUGUUCUGGCCACCCAUUUGGUUCUAUCAACUUUCCACAAUGGACUAAUGGCAGCUGAAAAAUUAUCGUGAAUAGCUGAAAAAAUAUCGUGAGUCCUAAGUGCUGGAGGUGACUCUCUAUAAAAACAUAAAGCUUAACUUAAAUAAUCAAAAUUUUAUUUUCUGUGUCAUAAGAAAAUGGACAAAAAGUACUGUCUCAAUGUUAGAUUAGUAUACAAGUAGUUCCACCUCUCUCCAUGACUCAAAUAAUACAUGCCCUUUGGGAGUUCCUGUUGUGGCUCAGCAUGUUAAGUAUCCAUGAGGAUAUGGAAUCGAUCCCUGGCCUUGCUCAGGGGGUUAAGGAUCCAGCAUUGCCACAAAAUGUGGCAAAGUUCACAGAUGUGGGCUCGACCUUGCAUUUCUGUGACUGUGGUGUAAGCUGGCAACUGCAGCUCUGAUUCGACCACUAGCCUGGGAA